GAUGAACGCUGGCGGCGUGCUUAACACAUGCAAGUCGAACGAGAAGUGAAGACGGAAACCUUCGGGCGGAAGGCUUUAUUUCGAGUGGCGGACGGGUGAGUAACGCGUGGGUAACCUGCCUCAUACAGGGGGAUAACAGUUGGAAACGACUGUUAAUACCGCAUAAGACCACAGCACCGCAUGGUGCGGGGGUAAAAACUCCGGUGGUAUGAGAUGGACCCGCGUUCGAUUAGCCAGUUGGCGGGGUAACGGCCCACCAAAGCGACGAUCGAUAGCCGAUCUGAGAGGAUGGCCGGCCACAUUGGGACUGAGACACGGCCCAAACUCCUACGGGAGGCAGCAGUGGGGAAUAUUGCACAAUGGGGGAAACCCUGAUGCAGCGACGCCGCGUGAGUGAAGAAGUAUUUCGGUAUGUAAAGCUCUAUCAGCAGGGAAGAAAAUGACGGUACCUGAGUAAGAAGCCCCGGCUAACUACGUG
RNAcentral lists this ribosomal RNA (478 nucleotides) under uncultured bacterium. RNAcentral's name for it is "partial 16S ribosomal RNA". It matches the Rfam family "Bacterial small subunit ribosomal RNA", at positions 28 to 507 of the family's 1533-position model. The record is from RNAcentral.